UGGCAGCAAAGUGAAGCAGGCUGACCUGGUUCAUUCCCGCGUCCCUUCUCCCAAAAAACAAUGGCAUUAAUCCAACUUUGAUUCUUUCCUCUUCAACAACUUCACCUCUCAUUCUCCAAAUUUUCUAUUCUUUUCUUCCUUUAACUCACCCAAACGACUCAUUCAACUCCACUCCACCUAAUAUCAACCUUUUUUUCCCUUCUCAAAAUCAUCACAUGACUCUCUGUUUCUUCAAUCAUCACCAUUAACCAUGUCUUUCUUCUGUUUCUCCUUCCUUCUUUCCCUUUUUAUCUUCCCUUCUGCUUCACAAUCCUUAAGAGGUGUUUUGAUUGAUUGUGGUGCUGUGGUUG
RNAcentral lists this unclassified non-coding RNA (350 nucleotides) under Hevea brasiliensis (rubber tree). Lineage: Eukaryota; Viridiplantae; Streptophyta; Magnoliopsida; Malpighiales; Euphorbiaceae. The record is from RNAcentral.